Molecule: long non-coding RNA, 876 nt
Organism: Corvus hawaiiensis (hawaiian crow)
Lineage: Eukaryota; Metazoa; Chordata; Aves; Passeriformes; Corvidae
Exons: 4
Source: RefSeq, a predicted model, not a curated record
GAAAAAGAGGAUGUCAGCUACUGGGACCAGCAGGAUCUCAUCAUGAGGGUGAAACUGACUGACAGAGUCAGAAAUUGCUUCUGCAUGAACAUUGGUUUUAUUCUCAGAAGACUCAUUAGCAGCAUUCCAGCACUGUACAAGAAGGAGAGAUGUUCCAGGAGCUCCAUUGUCUUCAUGCUUCCUUGAUGAAAUCAGCCCUGUCUCCUGGUCCAUGUGCCUCUUGUACUGAGGAGCCCAGAACUGGACCCAGCAGUUCAAAUAUGGUGCCAGUAGGAAUUUCAAAGGACAUGAGUAAGGUAUCUCUGGCAUGGAGUUCCUGUGGGCUCAGAAGAGCAAGAAUAAAGAGCUGAUUCAGCAGAGAUCAAGACGUCAUAAAACUGCCAAGGACAAAUGGCAGGUAUUGAAGAUUACUUUACCUGAAAACAGUUGUAGCUGUCUCCUUUCUGUCACUGAAAGGUAACUCAGGCAGCCUAUCACUCUUGGUAAAUAUUACAUAUUGUAUCUCGUAUUCACCUCAAAUCAGACAGUGUGAAAAUUACUUCACAACCAAGAGGUACUUUUUCCUAAGGUGCAUCACACCACAAAUUAUUACAAAGUGUCCAUAUAGAAAGCCUGAAGUACACAUAGCAGUAAUUUAUGUAGCAUGUCAUUAUAACAAAAACUAGUACUGUAAGGAAAAGAAGAUAUGCAAAGGAGAUAUUCUUUCCCUAGGAAACUCCAUGCCUGGAUGCAAGUUGCAUUUCCAGACGUGUAUUUACAACUUCUGACAGUGUGUAUGGUUAUGACAGUGAUGAAUUUACACCGUCACUUUUUUGUAUUUAAACUACCAUCUAAAAAUACCUGAGGAGAUUCAAAUGUUUGUCCUUUGGUGCUUUA